GAGUUUGAUUAUGGCUCAGGAUGAACGCUGGCGGCAUGCCUAAUACAUGCAAGUCGAACGAGGGUCCUUCGGGACUCGAGUGGCGAACGGGUGAGUAACACGUAGGGAACCUGCCCGUGCGACCGGGAGAACUUUCGGAAACGGAAGCUGAUACCGGAUAGGGACAGAGACGGCAUCGACUCUGAGUUAAAGGAGCUGAAAGGCUCCGCGCACGGAUGGACCUGCGGUGCAUUAGCUAGUUGGUGAGGUAACGACCCACCAAGGCGACGAUGCAUAGCCGGCCUGAGAGGGCGGACGGCCACACUGGGACUGAGACACGGCCCAGACUCCCACGGGAGGCAGCAGUAGGGAAUUUUCGUCAAUGGGCGCAAGCCUGAACGAGCAAUGCCGCGUGAACGAGGAAGGUCUUCGGAUCGUAAAGUUCUGUUGAAGGGGAAAAAGAGCGGAGAGAGGAAAUGGUCUCCGAUUGAUAUUACCCUUCGAGGAAGUCACGGCUAACUACGUGCCAGCAGCCGCGGUAAUACGUAGGUGGCGAGCGUUAUCCGGAAUGAUUGGGCGUAAAGGGUGCGUAGGCGGCCUGCUAAGUCUGGAGUGAAAGGUACCGGCUCAACCGGUACAGGCUCUGGAAACUGGCGGGCUAGAGAGCAGGAGAGGGCGGUGGAACUCCAUGUGUAGCGGUAAAAUGCGUAGAUAUAUGGAAGAACACCAGUGGCGAAGGCGGCCGCCUGGCCUGUUACUGACGCUGAGGCACGAAAGCGUGGGGAGCAAAUAGGAUUAGAUACCCUAGUAGUCCACGCCGUAAACGAUGAGGACCAAGUGUUGGGGAAGACCCAGUGCUGCAGUUAACGCAGUGAGUCCUCCGCCUGGGGAGUAUGCACGCAAGUGUGAAACUCAAAGGAAUUGACGGGGGCCCGCACAAGCGGUGGAGUAUGUGGUUUAAUUCGAAGCAACGCGAAGAACCUUACCAGGCCUUGACAUAGGGUGCGAAGCUGUGGAGACAUAGUGGAGGUAAACAUCCAUACAGGUGGUGCAUGGUUGUCGUCAGCUCGUGUCGUGAGAUGUUCAGUUAAGUCUGGCAACGAGCGCAACCCUCGUGAUGUGUUACCAAUAUCGAGUUAGGGACUCACAUCAGACUGCCGGUGAGAAACCGGAGGAAGGCGGGGAUGACGUCAAAUCAUCAUGCCCCUUAUGGCCUGGGCUACACACGUACUACAAUGGCGGCGACAGAGGGCAGCGAGCCUGCGAAGGCAAGCGAAUCCCAAAAAAGCCGUCCCAGUUCGGAUUGGAGUCUGCAACCCGACUCCAUGAAGUUGGAAUCGCUAGUAAUCGCGGAUCAGCAUGCCGCGGUGAAUACGUUCUCGGGCCUUGUACACACCGCCCGUCAAACCAUGGGAGUGGGCAAUGCCCGAAGCCGGUGGCGCAACCCUUAAAAGGGAGCGAGCCGUCGAAGGCAGGGCCGAUGACUGGGGUUAAGUCGUAACAAGGU
RNAcentral lists this ribosomal RNA (1486 nucleotides) under uncultured bacterium. RNAcentral's name for it is "bacterial SSU rRNA". It matches the Rfam family "Bacterial small subunit ribosomal RNA". The record is from RNAcentral.